RNAcentral lists this ribosomal RNA (301 nucleotides) under uncultured bacterium. Its description in RNAcentral is "partial 16S ribosomal RNA". It matches the Rfam family "Bacterial small subunit ribosomal RNA", at positions 509 to 807 of the family's 1533-position model. The record is from RNAcentral.
CAGCAGCCGCGGGAAUACGUAGGAGGCAAGCGUUGUCCGGAAUUAUUGGGCGUAAAGGGCUCGCAGGCGGUUUCUUAAGUCUGAUGUGAAAGCCCCCGGCUCAACCGGGGAGGGUCAUUGGAAACUGGGAAACUUGAGUGCAGAAGAGGAGAGUGGAAUUCCACGUGUAGCGGUGAAAUGCGUAGAGAUGUGGAGGAACACCAGUGGCGAAGGCGACUCUCUGGUCUGUAACUGACGCUGAGGAGCGAAAGCGUGGGGAGCGAACAGGAUUAGAUACCCCUGUAGUCCCUGUCUCUUAUAC